AUGAUGUGUUUCGAAAACCUCGAUUCUAUCAGAGAAGUGUGAUGACGUCAGAUGUUACGUAAAAGUUCUUAUUGAAAAUAUAAAAUUUUAAUAUGGAAUUUUUAAUAUGAAUUUAGCAGAUAUAGAAAUGAACUACUUAAUACAAGAAAUCGUCCAGAAUGACGUCAUUAGCCGGAGUGACCCGGAUGUGUGUUCUGACGCUAUGCGCAAUAUUCGAUGCGCACAGUGUUCUGGUUCGACGUCAAGAUGGCGGAAGCAGUUCAGACAUCUUGUGCAUCGCCAAGAUUGAAGCGUCCUAGACUGGAUAAUAAUGAUCAUAUAGUGCUGUCUUUGACUUCGUAUGACAGUAAAUUGGACAACUGCGUCGAUCGUGGUGAAGAUGGAUGUUUCGCCGUACCUUAUGGUGAGUAUAUAGGAUGGAUAGUAUAAUCGAUGUCGGGAAUGCGUCAUCUUGUUGCCAGGUUGGCACAAGCGCCUUUCUACGGAAGGCCGAGUCGGUCACGUGAUGCUGGGAGGUUUUUUGCUUCGACAGCGUUUCCUCUAUGGCGCACACGUGGACUUGUUUAUAUACGACCUGACAGUUCAUUUUAAAAUUUUAAAGAAUAAAUUAACAUUAGUUGACAAAUAUUAUGGGACGAUUAAUAGAUAUUAAUAACAUGAAUUUAUUUCGUGUUAGUUAGUGCCGAAAUGUAAAUGAUACUCAGUUCAUGAUGUUUAAAAACGCAAAAUUUGUCUGUAAUAUAGUUUUUAUCGUCAUGAUGUAUAGUAAAUAUAACGCUU
This 780-nucleotide long non-coding RNA is filed under the name Androctonus crassicauda. The record is from RNAcentral. Lineage: Eukaryota; Metazoa; Arthropoda; Arachnida; Scorpiones; Buthidae.